This 912-nucleotide long non-coding RNA is filed under the name Callithrix jacchus (white-tufted-ear marmoset). RNAcentral describes it as "lncRNA (ENSCJAG00000077216.1)". Lineage: Eukaryota; Metazoa; Chordata; Mammalia; Primates; Cebidae. The record is from RNAcentral.
AUGGGGUUGCAGAGAAAACGUGGAUUGGGACCAGCAAGAAGUUAUCGUCCUGGAAUAGAGAGCCACAAUGCACAUUUGACAACAGCAAGAAAACUUCCCAGAUGCUCUGGAAGAACAGUGGCCAAGCAAAAUUCUCCCGGAGGGCAGAGUCUGCGACAGCAUUUCUGGCUGGCCAGUAAGUUCAGCAUAAAUGCAGAUGGUUGGAGCCCAUCUUACACCCGAGGGUGUUCCUGCACAUCUUUUAAUGCCUUCACUUUGAAGCUGACCAGAUCUCUUCUCACUGGCCUUGUGAGAUGGGCUUUGCUGUCUCCACAGUCUCAGUUUUGAGUCCCAGCUCUACUACUGAUUGGCUAUAUUUUCUCAUCUAUAAAUUGUGUAUAACCACAAAUGAUUAUUAUAUGAGGUAAUACCAAUAAAAUGCUUAGCAUGGUAUUUAACAUAUAUUAAUGGUUUUUAUCAAUAUGUUUGCACAACUUAUGAUUAUGGUAAAGCACAUUAUUAAAUCCUUGGAAUUAUUUUCUAAUCUGUGAAAUAAGUUUAGAUGAUUACUAAAACCUCUAAUUUUGAAAUUUUGUGUCUACAUCCUCUUUUUAUAAAUUGAUAUAACAUCAAGUAGAUUUUUUUGUCUGAGAUGUAAUUAUUUUCACUGUAUUUUCAAAUAUUCAACGGGAAAGACCACGGAGAAGUAUUGCCCAAGUACGCUGAAUCCCAAAAGCUGUGAUCCAAAAAAUGCUAUGGAGAUAAAUAUCUUGUAGUUGAAUACUUACUAAAGAAAUUGUAGCAUAUAGCACACUUAAAACACUAUAGAAAAGUAGAGAAGCUAAAAGUGAACUGCCUCAUGUGUGAAUUCUAUUGCUACUUGGAAAUGCACCUAAGAAACAUUACAUGAAAAGAGCAAAAUAUCAAGGCUCU